This 143-nucleotide ribosomal RNA is filed under the name Metazoa environmental sample. Its description in RNAcentral is "partial small subunit ribosomal RNA". It matches the Rfam family "Eukaryotic small subunit ribosomal RNA", at positions 1296 to 1461 of the family's 1831-position model. Lineage: Eukaryota; Metazoa. The record is from RNAcentral.
AGUUGGUGGAGCGAUUUGUCUGGUUAAUUCCGAUAACGAACGAGACUCUAGCCUAUUAAAUAGUUCACCGAUCUGUCUUGUCGGUGUCAACUUCUUAGAGGGACAAGUGUCGUAUAGGCACACGAGAUUGAGCAAUAACAGGU